UACGUAGGAGGCAAGCGUUAUCCGGAUUUACUGGGCGUAAAGAGUGCGUAGGUGGUUCGACAAGUCGGAUGUGAAAUCUCUCGGCUUAACUGAGAGAAGCCAUUCGAUACUGUUGGGCUAGAGGGCAGCAGAGGGAGAUGGAAUUCCCGGUGUAGUGGUGAAAUGCGUAGAUAUCGGGAGGAACACCAGUGGCGAAGGCGGUCUCCUAGGCUGUUCCUGACACUGAGGCACGAAAGCGUGGGGAG
RNAcentral lists this ribosomal RNA (245 nucleotides) under uncultured bacterium. Its description in RNAcentral is "partial 16S ribosomal RNA". It matches the Rfam family "Bacterial small subunit ribosomal RNA", at positions 524 to 768 of the family's 1533-position model. The record is from RNAcentral.